RNAcentral lists this ribosomal RNA (253 nucleotides) under uncultured bacterium. RNAcentral's name for it is "partial 16S ribosomal RNA". It matches the Rfam family "Bacterial small subunit ribosomal RNA", at positions 524 to 776 of the family's 1533-position model. The record is from RNAcentral.
UACGAAGGGGGCUAGCGUUGUUCGGAAUCACUGGGCGUAAAGCGCACGUAGGCGGAUGUAUCAGUCAGGGGUGAAAUCCCGGAGCUCAACUUCGGAACUGCCCUUGAUACAGCACGUCUUGAGUCCGGAAGAGGUGGGUGGAAUUCCUAGUGUAGAGGUGAAAUUCGUAGAUAUUAGGAAGAACACCGGUGGCGAAGGCGGCCCACUGGUCCGGUACUGACGCUGAGGUGCGAAAGCGUGGGGAGCAAACAGG